CCUACGGGAGGCAGCAGUGGGGAGGCUUCGGCAAUGGGGGAAACCCUGACCGAGCGACGCCGCGUGCAGGAUGAAGGCCCUUGGGUUGUAAACUGCUUUUGUUGGGGAAGAAGUGCGAUCAGGUGAAUAAUCUGGUCGUUUGACGGUACCCGACGAAUAAGCUCCGGCUAACUCCGUGCCAGCAGCCGCGGUAACACGGGGGGAGCAAGCGUUGUUCGGAAUCACUGGGCGUAAAGGGAGUCUAGGCGGUCAGGUAAGUGGGACGUGAAAUACCUCGGCUCACCCGAGGGGCUGCGUCCCAAACUGCUUGGCUUGAGUAUGGGAGAGGGUGUGGGAAUUCCUGGUGUAGCGGUGAAAUGCGUAGAUAUCAGGAGGAACACCGGUGGCGAAGGCGCACACCUGGCCCAAUACUGACGCUGAAGCUCGAAAGCUAGGGGAGCAAACGGGAUUAGAUACCCCAGUAGUC
RNAcentral lists this ribosomal RNA (466 nucleotides) under uncultured bacterium. RNAcentral describes it as "bacterial SSU rRNA". It matches the Rfam family "Bacterial small subunit ribosomal RNA", at positions 338 to 795 of the family's 1533-position model. The record is from RNAcentral.